UACAGGUGACUCUAUGUUAAACACAGGGAGUUCUUACAGAGAUCUGUCUGGGAUGUCCUUCAGUACCCCAGACAGAGACAAUGACGGGUGGAGUGAUAACUGUGCUGCUAACAGUGGCGUUAGAGGAGGCAGGUGGUUUAACAACUGCCACUACGCCUUCCUUAACGGUCAAUGGUCCCCGGGAGACUGGUUCUACCCAUGGCAUCCUACAGUAACGAGUGGGACGUCAGUAAAGGGGACCACCAUGAUGGUCAGACGGCACUAGACGAAAGAUCAUCCAUCAAUUAGACGAAUCCAUUUUGAUCCAAGAGACGGUUUUAAAUUUAACAUUCAUCACGGGGUUCUUUAUUUUGUAAGACUGUUUAACAUCAAGUGACUAAACAAAUAUGUUUUCAGGGGAUAAAGGAUUAUGUAAAGCAAUAAAUUAUUGUAAUUUUGUUCUACUGAAUAUAUUCUGUAAAAGAUGUACUUUAUAUGUGUUGUAAUAAAUUUGAAAUUAGAAA
Molecule: long non-coding RNA, 503 nt
Organism: Saccostrea cuccullata (small rock oyster)
Lineage: Eukaryota; Metazoa; Mollusca; Bivalvia; Ostreida; Ostreidae
Exons: 2
Source: RefSeq, a predicted model, not a curated record